RNAcentral lists this ribosomal RNA (430 nucleotides) under uncultured bacterium. RNAcentral describes it as "bacterial SSU rRNA". It matches the Rfam family "Bacterial small subunit ribosomal RNA", at positions 355 to 776 of the family's 1533-position model. The record is from RNAcentral.
UGGGGAAUAUUGCGCAAUGGCCGAAAGGCUGACGCAGCGACGCCGCGUGUGGGAGGAAGCCCUUCGGGGUGUAAACCACUGUCAGGGGGGACGAAUCGCGAGCGGGCAAAUAGCCCGAGCGCUUGACGGUACCUCCAAAGGAAGCACCGGCUAACUCCGUGCCAGCAGCCGCGGUAAGACGGAGGGUGCAAGCGUUGUUCGGAAUUACUGGGCGUAAAGCGCGGGCAGGUGGUCCUUUAAGUCCUUUGUGAAAUCCCGGGGCUCAACUCCGGAUGUGCAUAGGAUACUGGAGGACUGGAGACUGGUAGAGGCGAGCGGAAUUCCUGGUGUAGCGGUGGAAUGCGUAGAUAUCAGGAAGAACACCGGUGGCGAAGGCGGCUCGCUGGGCCAGUUCUGACACUCAUCCGCGAAAGCGUGGGGAGCAAACAGG